AAAUAAAUAAAUAAGGUAUUUCUAAAGAAUAGUAUGCAAAGUUCAUUUACAAUUGCUAAAGUAAUAAAAAAUGGUUAAAUAUGACUAUGUGAGACUAUAAGACCAUAAUAUGACUAAAAGGUUUUUAUUAAAAUAAAAUAAACCCACUGCAGUGGACAGGUGGGGGCUGCCCUUGGUCUCAACAAGCAGCUGCCUGGACUUUUUCUCUGGUGUUGAGAUCACUGGCAGGUCUCUACUGCCUUCCGGCUGUGGGGGACUGAACUUUUCCAUUGUCCACCUUAAAAAACUAUUUUGGUUCAUUCUAGGAAAAAAGUUCUAUUUCCCUGUGUUUUUCUGAUUUUAAAAUCUAAAUUAUCUGAGGUAAAAACUGCUGAGUUACUUUGGACUUGCUAACAAGCCAAACAGAAUGGUUACUGGUGAAAUAAAAGCUUUUAAAUUUACUUAUUGGACCUGUAAAAGGUUAAGUUUCUUGUUAAAACUAAUCAACCUGGUAAAAUAUAAAGUGAUAGUACAGACAUUUUUGAGCUAAAUACUAAACCUCAGAUUUUAAUAAAAGCCUAAAAACAGGCAGACUGUAGAAAUUUACCUCUUUUCCUGUUCUCAAGAUAACAGUGUUCUUUUAUGUUUUAAUAUAUGCUCGUUCUCAGUGAGAUAAAGUGUUGAUAACCUAAAGCCAAAAAAUCAUUUCUUAAAAAUAUAAUCUCAAAAAAUAUUUUCUUAUCAAAAAAAAAGUUAGUAAACACUGCCAUGACCGUUGUGAUAUCGAGCCCAAGGUCUCUGGUAAUAAUUAAGAUUAGACACUUAUUCUGUGUACAGAUUAUAGCUGCUAACUCAUUAAAAACCUCAGUCUCUUCACACAUUGGUAAAAUAACUAUCUCUUAAAAUAUAUACAUAUGGCCAAAAUUUUAUAUGCAUGUCAAGAGAUCUCUGUAUCUGUUUUUGUCUUUGUGUUUUUGUUUUGUUUUGUUUUUUACCUUCGGAGGACUAAUUAUAAAUGGCACCUAUAUAAGUUCUCAAAAACAUUUUAAGAUCAUGAUCCAAAAUUUUUAAUAUACAAGAACUAGUUCAAAUUUUAUGAUAUAAUUCCAACCAUAUAUGUCUUAAAGUUAUAAUGGUAAAUAUUAAUAAUCUACUCUGUUUAAAUGUAUCUUGAAAGUAUUUUUCUUUCCUUGACUAAAAACGUAUGUAUAGCCUUUAAAGAUGAGUCUCAACAUUUAAUGUUUUGCUUUGCUUAUGCAGAAAAAGCUAAGGCUAUUAAGACAGAUAAUGCACCUGCUUACACCUUCUCUGCCUUCAAAAAUUUUUUUUAAUUCAUUUAACUUGUGGGAGAGGCUAUGCUUGUAUUUUUCUACAGGAUGCAGAUUCACCCAUCCGGAUCCCUGAUAGACUAAUCCGAUGCGUUGGUUUCUCCUCUUCACCGAUUGCGACUUGAGGAGUCACAGACCAGCCCUACUUCGUCACCAACUUCUGCCACGCUACACAGCAACAUGCCUCCCUCUAUUCCCCUGUGUGAAACCUUGCUUGUUGAUUUAAAUAGUGCUUGGGAUAAUGUAGACAAAUUGUUUUUGUAAUUGUUUAUCAGCCUCCUUAUAUUAUACUGCCUGUAGAUCCAAAGAAAUAUUGGUAUAAUAAUUUUAAUAUUUAUGCUCUUAGAUAAAAAAUUUUGAGACUCGCUUAAAUGUUCUAGAGGAGACACUUUUGUAUAUUGGAAAUCAAAUUCAGCAUAUCAAAACUCACUUGACCACUCCAUGUCGCUCUGAUUACAAAUGGAUUUAUGUCACUCCACAUGUUUAUAAUUCUUCCUCUGUUUCAUGAAAUAAUGUUAAAAAUCAUUUGCUAGGAGUUUGAAAUAAUACAAAUAUUUCCCUAAAUCUUACCAAUCUUCAGAAUAAUAUUAAAGCAAUUAGUUUAGCUUUUGUAUCUUCUUUAACUCCGGCCAAGAUUGCUGAUUCCUUCUUGGCCUCCUUACAGCACUACACCACUAAAGCUGCCUGAUUCCCAUCAUUCAUUGCUAUAGGUAUUGUUUUGCUUGUCACUAUGAUUAUUUUGUUUCACUUCCCAUUGUUCACCAAAUUACUUUUCAGUGCUAUCAAUCAAAUGUGUAGAGUUAAAAAUUUUGCAAAUAAUGGCCAAAAACAAAAAAGGGGGAAAUGCUGCAGGGGGCCUUGCUGCCCUAGCCAGGUAAGACACUGGCAAGCAGCUAAGAAAAAGGGCCUCACACCUUGGGGCCGAAGCUCAAAGAGCCUCACACCUUGGGGCUGAAGAAAAAGGGCCUCACACCGUGGGGCUGAAGAGGGGCUGAAGAUUUAACAUCCCUUUGAUUUUUGUUCUUGGUCAUAAAAAGAGAAAAAAUUCUCAGAAAGUACAUUAGGCAAUGAAUUAUAUGUAUCAGCAUACUAUAAGUAAAUGGCAUGGAAAAUUAUCUGUUUAGAAAUUAGUUAUUAAACAAUUUGGCCCACUUGACAAUGGGAGACAAUUUAUUGUUCAUGCCUGACAAGCAGUCCAGCACAACAAUUAUAGUAGGUCCUUCUUUUGCUUUUUUAAGAAGUUCCCUUUUUUUUAGAAGUUUCUUGGGAAAGUUUUUAAAUGAAGUUAUUUGUGUUAAGGAGUUUCUAGAUAGAAAAAGUUCUGAUAGCUGAGUAGCAACUGGUCUUGGGCUGAAGGCCAUGCGAAUAAGAAAAGUCUUUUGAUUCUUAGGCUUUAGCUGAUAGGGAUGUACUGGCGGCUAUCAACUGUCUUAGGUAAUUGUCUAGCUGAAAUAAUGAGUUGUAGUGUAAGGUUUAGUUUUUUAUCUAUUAACCUUGAAGGGUACCGUCUAGCUGAGACCCGUAGGAGCCAGUAGUCCAUGGGAAUAGAAUACUCUGAUUGUCUCUGUUUUAUACAUGAUGAUGUAAUUUUUCUGCUUGCUAAAAAUGAAUAAAGACUUGCUGAGUCCCUUAGCAGGAGAUACUUGCACCAAACAGAAGUGUGCUUGUCUGCCUCAUUCCCUUCCCUUAGGCCGUCUCAUCCUUUCAGGAACCCCUGACAGGACAUUUUGCCGAGACCAUCAGCAGGGCCCUGAGGCAUCAGGAGAGCGGGGGAGAGACAUCCCAUGCUGGGCGGAUGAGAAGGGGGUGACUCAGCUUCUCUCUGAGAGUAAAGCCAACCUCAGAGAGGAAAUGUUCGGAGGCUUUGCAAGUAGCUGAGUGACUGAAACUUUUCCCAGUUUUGCUGCUGUCACAGCCUGGCAGGGAAGGCGAGACCUGGAGCCCGGCGCCUCUCUAAGCUUUGAGUGUGGUCAUUCAUCAGGUCUUUUGGCAGCUGCGGCAGCUGUUUUCAGUGUCACUUGUCUUGUGCUGUGCUGGGGCAUCUCGGCAGCUCCGUUGAGCAUCUCCUGUUGUGUCUUCUGCUGUCUUCGUGAACUGGAUCCCGGCCUAUAGUCUGGCAGCCACGUGCUCCAGGCCCUCAGUGGCAGGAAGACGCUACUUGGGAACAUUUGUGUUUAGGACUUUACAACACUGGACACUGCUUCAGGCUCUAACAGCAGCAAAGAUGGGAACAGGUGAAGAAGCUGUGAUUGCUUCUCAACCUUGGACAUGUGCCAGAGACUUGGGGGGACAUGGAAGGAGACACUGGAAACAGACAUGGGUGUAGUCCCCAUAGAAGUUCCUCCACCAGUGCAACCGUGCACCAUCCCCACAGCCCCCUGUGUGCCUCUCUCCCUUAGGCUCCCCUGAAGGAUGUCUCUGGUUUAUAAUUGUCUGUUUUGUUUUGUUUUUUGUUUUGCUUUGUUAUGUUUUGUACUGUUAUUAUUUUUCCCCUAUGUCUUAUUUGUUUCCCCUAUAUUCCUCCUAUAUGUGAAGCCACCUGUUGUUUUUCUUUUUCCUUCUGACUUAUUUCACUGAGCAUAAUUCCUUCUAGCUCCUUCCACGUUGCUGCAAAUCGGAUGAGUUUGUCUUUUUUCUUCACUUAGUAAUAUUCUAUUGUCUAAAUAUACCAAAACCUUUUGACUCAUUUGUUGAUUUGGGGGUAUUGGGUUUGUUUCCAUAUCUUGGCUACUGUAAAUAUUGCUGAAAUAAACAUAGCGGUACAGUUUUCCUUUUGAAUUAGUGUUUUUAUGUCCUUUGGGUAGAUUCGUAGGAAUGGAAUUGCUGGAUCAUUAGGUAGAUCCAAUUGUAGUAAUUUGAGGGUCCUCCACACAGCUCUGAAUAUUGGUUGGGCCAGUUUGCAUUCCCACCAGCCAUGCAGGAGAGUUCCUUUUUCUCCACAUCCUCUCUAGCAUUUGUUGCUUCUGGUUUUUCCAUUUUUAAUAUGGGUAUUCUCAUGGGACUGAAGUAUACCCCAUCUUCUUGAUCCAUUCAAGAUCCCCUGAUUUAAAAUACGAUGAGAAACUACUUCACACCUGUGAGAAUGGCCCAUAUCAAAAAGACCAGACCUAACAAGAUCUGGUAGGACAUGGAGACAAGGCACGGUCCUGCACUGAUUUGGGGAAUAUAGACUGGUUCAUCCCUGAUGGAAAACAACGUCCAGGUUUCUUAGAAAAUUAACUGAGCAUCUGCCAUAGGACUCAGCAGUCCCAUCCCAAGGUAUCUACCCUGCCUCAGAUGGCCCAUGAGAAGUUCUCAGCUAUGAACUGGAUUCGAAGUCUAAAUGAAUUAGCAGCAGGAGGAGGCUGGAGAGAACCCUCUAGAGCAGCUCUGCCUCUCACUCUCCCAGCCCAAGCUCUUAUUAAAGAUAUGAACAAAGGGAUAAGGAAACAGCGUGCAAUUGUGUUUAUACUUAUACACUGAAUAAGUUACUGCUGGAACAAGUUUUUCUAGUUAGUAGGGAUCAUGCACACAAGUCAGCAUGUCCUCAGGGAACAGGAGUUCAUUUGGGGAAGAAGUUCUGUUUGCAGAACUUCUAACCUCCUGGAACCUCCUGUGCAGAGUAAGCAGGUGCUCUCAGAGACUCUGGCUCCCCUUAGGGUGGCAGGUGCCAGCACACCCGCAGAGGAUGUUACACUACUUCAAAGGAAACCUGCACCCCCUGAUCACUGCAGCACUAUUUACAGUAGCCGAGCUGUGGAAGGGGUUGUACAUAGAUAAUAGAAUAUUACUCAUCAAGAAACAUAAACUCAUGCCAUCUAGGGCAACACGGAUGGAGCUAAUUGAAAUAAGCCUAAUGGAGAAAGACAAAUGUAUCACUUAGAUGUGGAUAUACAGAAAUUAAACAAAGGGCUAGAUUAAGCCAAACUUAAAAGCUAUCCCUUGAGUCUCCCAGGCGGUGCCUGACUGCUGACUGGGCCUGCAGAGCAGCCAGGCUUCUUGGCCCACCAGUGCUGGGUGGACUGACCCUCUGUAGUUUGGCAUCAAACUCAUUUGACGACAAAGCCUGACUCCCGCUGACUAAGUCCCUGAUAGUGUUUUGUUGCAGCUGCACCACCACUGGGUCCCCAGCCUCUGCUGUUUGCUGGGUCUGAGACGGAUCUUGUACCUGAUGCUGCAGG
Molecule: long non-coding RNA, 5467 nt
Organism: Talpa occidentalis (Iberian mole)
Lineage: Eukaryota; Metazoa; Chordata; Mammalia; Eulipotyphla; Talpidae
Exons: 5
Source: RefSeq, a predicted model, not a curated record